RNAcentral lists this unclassified non-coding RNA (421 nucleotides) under plant metagenome. RNAcentral describes it as "partial contains 5.8S ribosomal RNA, internal transcribed spacer 2, and large subunit ribosomal RNA". It matches the Rfam family "Bacterial small subunit ribosomal RNA", at positions 358 to 777 of the family's 1533-position model. The record is from RNAcentral.
GGAAUAUUGGUCAAUGGGCGAGAGCCUGAACCAGCCAAGUAGCGUGCAGGAUGACGGCCCUCCGGGUUGUAAACUGCUUUUAGUUGGGAAUAAAAAAAGGGACUUGUCCCUUCUUGUAUGUACCUUCAGAAAAAGGACCGGCUAAUUCCGUGUCAGCAGCCGCGGUAAUACGGAAGGUCCAGGCGUUAUCCGGAUUUAUUGGGUUUAAAGGGAGCGUAGGCGGAUUGUUAAGUCAGCGGUUAAAGGGUGUGGCUCAACCAUGCAUUGCCGUUGAAACUGGCGAUCUUGAGUGCAGACAGGGAUGCCGGAAUUCGUGGUGUAGCGGUGAGAUGCUUAGAUAUCACGAAGAACUCCGGUCGCGAAGGCAGGUGUCCGGGCUGCAACUGACGCUGAGGCUCGAAAGUGUGGGUAUCAAACAGGA